GACGAAGGGGGCUAGCGUUGUUCGGAAUUACUGGGCGUAAAGCGUGCGCAGGCGGUUGUGUAAGACAGAUGUGAAAUCCCCGGGCUCAACCUGGGAACUGCAUUUGUGACUGCACGGCUGGAGUGCGGCAGAGGGGGAUGGAAUUCCGCGUGUAGCAGUGAAAUGCGUAGAUAUGCGGAGGAACACCGAUGGCGAAGGCAAUCCCCUGGGCCUGCACUGACGCUCAUGCACGAAAGCGUGGGGAGCAAACAGG
Molecule: ribosomal RNA, 253 nt
Filed under: uncultured bacterium
Lineage: Bacteria
Description: partial 16S ribosomal RNA
Rfam family: Bacterial small subunit ribosomal RNA
Source: RNAcentral